RNAcentral lists this ribosomal RNA (428 nucleotides) under uncultured bacterium. Its description in RNAcentral is "partial 16S ribosomal RNA". It matches the Rfam family "Bacterial small subunit ribosomal RNA", at positions 354 to 796 of the family's 1533-position model. The record is from RNAcentral.
GUGGGGGAUAUUGCACAAUGGAGGAAACUCUGAUGCAGCGACGCCGCGUGAGGGAAGAAGGUCUUCGGAUUGUAAACCUCUGUCUUCAGGGACGAAACAAAUGACGGUACCUGAGGAGGAAGCCACGGCUAACUACGUGCCAGCAGCCGCGGUAAUACGUAGGUGGCAAGCGUUGUCCGGAAUUACUGGGUGUAAAGGGAGCGCAGGCGGGGAAGCAAGUUGGGAGUGAAAUCUAUGGGCUUAACCCAUAAAUUGCUUUCAAAACUGUUUUUCUUGAGUAGUGCAGAGGUAGGCGGAAUUCCCGGUGUAGCGGUGGAAUGCGUAGAUAUCGGGAGGAACACCAGUGGCGAAGGCGGCCUACUGGGCACCAACUGACGCUGAGGCUCGAAAGUAUGGGUAGCAAACAGGAUUAGAAACCCGAGUAGUCC